Molecule: ribosomal RNA, 253 nt
Filed under: uncultured bacterium
Lineage: Bacteria
Description: partial 16S ribosomal RNA
Rfam family: Bacterial small subunit ribosomal RNA
Source: RNAcentral
UACGUAGGGUGCGAGCGUUAAUCGGAAUUACUGGGCGUAAAGCGUGCGCAGGCGGUUUUGUAAGCCAGAUGUGAAAUCCCCGGGCUUAACCUGGGAAUGGCAUUUGGGACUGCAAGGCUCGAGUGCGGCAGAGGGAAGCGGAAUUUCCGGUGUAGCGGUGAAAUGCGUAGAUAUCGGAAGGAACAUCAGUGGCGAAGGCGGCCUGCUGGGCUGUUGCUGACGCUGAGGCGCGACAGCGUGGGGAGCAAACAGG